UACGUAGGGGGCCAGCGUUGUCCGGAAUCAUUUGGCGUAAAGAGCGUGUAGGCGGCCCGAUAAGUCCGCUGUGAAAGUCCAGGGCUCAACCCUGGGAUGCCGGUGGAUACUGUCGGGCUCGAGUCCGGAAGAGGCGAGUGGAAUUCCUGGUGUAGCGGUGAAAUGCGCAGAUAUCAGGAGGAACACCAAUGGCGAAGGCAGCUCGCUGGGACGUGACUGACGCUGAGACGCGAAAGCGUGGGGAGCAAACAGG
This 253-nucleotide ribosomal RNA is filed under the name uncultured bacterium. Its description in RNAcentral is "partial 16S ribosomal RNA". It matches the Rfam family "Bacterial small subunit ribosomal RNA", at positions 524 to 776 of the family's 1533-position model. The record is from RNAcentral.